Molecule: ribosomal RNA, 490 nt
Filed under: uncultured bacterium
Lineage: Bacteria
Description: partial 16S ribosomal RNA
Rfam family: Bacterial small subunit ribosomal RNA
Source: RNAcentral
AGUGAACGCUGGCGGUAGGCCUAACACAUGCAAGUCGAACGGCAGCACAGUAAGAGCUUGCUCUUACGGGUGGCGAGUGGCGGACGGGUGAGGAAUACAUCGGAAUCUACUUUUUCGUGGGGGAUAACGUAGGGAAACUUACGCUAAUACCGCAUACGACCUACGGGUGAAAGCAGGGGAUCUUCGGACCUUGCGCGAUUGAAUGAGCCGAUGUCGGAUUAGCUAGUUGGCGGGGUAAAGGCCCACCAAGGCGACGAUCCGUAGCUGGUCUGAGAGGAUGAUCAGCCACUGGAACUGAGACACGGUCCAGACUCCUACGGGAGGCAGCAGUGGGGAAUAUUGGACAAUGGGCGCAAGCCUGAUCCAGCCAUACCGCGUGGGUGAAGAAGGCCUUCGGGUUGUAAAGCCCUUUUGUUGGGAAAGAAAAGCAGCAGGUUAAUACCCCGCUGUUCUGACGGUACCCAAAGAAUAAGCACCGGCUAACUUCGUG